RNAcentral lists this non-coding RNA (194 nucleotides) under Enterococcus sp. RNAcentral describes it as "6S RNA". It matches the Rfam family "6S / SsrS RNA". Rfam says of the family: E. coli 6S RNA was the first non coding RNA to be sequenced, but its function was unknown until recently. It consists of 184 nucleotides that fold into an extended hairpin structure with a large single-stranded internal bulge. RNAcentral also lists the same sequence under 2 other names. Lineage: Bacteria; Bacillati; Bacillota; Bacilli; Lactobacillales; Enterococcaceae. The record is from RNAcentral.
GGUAAUCUGUGAUGUACGAAUUUUCCCUUUUUGUGUUGACCGAACAUUUUAUUGAUAUCUUGGGAUCCGUCCGGUGUUAAAUAUGGUAACAAGCCUUUUCAUUUGGUAGUUCGACUAUUUGACCGUGGAGCCCACCUGCUAACAUUUGCGGGAUCAAUACACCGGGACAAGAAAACGGCAUCUACGGAUUUUAC